This 309-nucleotide ribosomal RNA is filed under the name uncultured eukaryote. RNAcentral describes it as "partial 18S ribosomal RNA". It matches the Rfam family "Eukaryotic small subunit ribosomal RNA", at positions 1470 to 1796 of the family's 1831-position model. The record is from RNAcentral.
CCCUUAGAUGUUCUGGGCGGCCCGCGCACUACAUUGGCACUAGCAAAGAGAUCCUAGAUUGAAUUCUUUGGGGUAUUCUUCUAAAUGGUGUCGUGACUGGGAUAAAUCCUUGUAAUUAUUGGUUUUGAACGAGGAAUUCCUUGUAAUCGCGGUUUAUCAGCUCGCGUUGAAUGCGUCCCUGCCCUUUGUACACACCGCCCGUCGCUCCUACCGAUGGAUCGUCCGGUGAAGCUCACGGAGUGACUGUUCACGCAACGGUUUACGAAGUGAAGUGGACCUCACGAUUUAGAGGAAGGAGAAGUCGUAACA